This 452-nucleotide ribosomal RNA is filed under the name uncultured bacterium. RNAcentral describes it as "bacterial SSU rRNA". It matches the Rfam family "Bacterial small subunit ribosomal RNA", at positions 29 to 524 of the family's 1533-position model. The record is from RNAcentral.
AGCGAACGCUGGCGGCAGGCUUAACACAUGCAAGUCGAGCGGGCGUAGCAAUACGUCAGCGGCAGACGGGUGAGUAACGCGUGGGAACGUACCUUUUGGUUCGGAACAACACAGGGAAACUUGUGCUAAUACCGGAUAAGCCCUUACGGGGAAAGAUUUAUCGCCGAAAGAUCGGCCCGCGUCUGAUUAGCUAGUUGGUGAGGUAACGGCUCACCAAGGCGACGAUCAGUAGCNGGUCUGAGAGGAUGAUCAGCCACAUUGGGACUGAGACACGGCCCAAACUCCUACGGGAGGCAGCAGUGGGGAAUAUUGGACAAUGGGCGCAAGCCUGAUCCAGCCAUGCCGCGUGAGUGAUGAAGGCCCUAGGGUUGUAAAGCUCUUUUGUGCGGGAAGAUAAUGACGGUACCGCAAGAAUAAGCCCCGGCUAACUUCGUGCCAGCAGCCGCAGUAAU